AUCAGUGGCCAUAGCAAAGGGGAUCACCUGAUACCAUUCCGAACUCAGUAGUUAAGCCCUUUAGCGCCGAAGAUACCAGAGAUGGGAAAAUAGGGAGUGCUUUUU
This 105-nucleotide ribosomal RNA is filed under the name Mycoplasmopsis bovis. The record is from RNAcentral. Lineage: Bacteria; Bacillati; Mycoplasmatota; Mycoplasmoidales; Metamycoplasmataceae.